UUAGAGUUUGAUCCUGGCUCAGAUUGAACGCUGGCGGCAGGCCUAACACAUGCAAGUCGAGCGGUAGCACAGAGAGCUUGCUCUCGGGUGACGAGCGGCGGACGGGUGAGUAAUGUCUGGGAAACUGCCUGAUGGAGGGGGAUAACUACUGGAAACGGUAGCUAAUACCGCAUAACGUCGCAAGACCAAAGUGGGGGACCUUCGGGCCUCAUGCCAUCAGAUGUGCCCAGAUGGGAUUAGCUAGUAGGUGGGGUAACGGCUCACCUAGGCGACGAUCCCUAGCUGGUCUGAGAGGAUGACCAGCCACACUGGAACUGAGACACGGUCCAGACUCCUACGGGAGGCAGCAGUGGGGAAUAUUGCACAAUGGGCGCAAGCCUGAUGCAGCCAUGCCGCGUGUGUGAAGAAGGCCUUCGGGUUGUAAAGCACUUUCAGCGGGGAGGAAGGCGGUGAGGUUAAUAACCUCAUCGAUUGACGUUACCCGCAGAAGAAGCACCGGCUAACUCCGUGCCAGCAGCCGCGGUAAUACGGAGGGUGCAAGCGUUAAUCGGAAUUACUGGGCGUAAAGCGCACGCAGGCGGUCUGUCAAGUCGGAUGUGAAAUCCCCGGGCUCAACCUGGGAACUGCAUUCGAAACUGGCAGGCUAGAGUCUUGUAGAGGGGGGUAGAAUUCCAGGUGUAGCGGUGAAAUGCGUAGAGAUCUGGAGGAAUACCGGUGGCGAAGGCGGCCCCCUGGACAAAGACUGACGCUCAGGUGCGAAAGCGUGGGGAGCAAACAGGAUUAGAUACCCUGGUAGUCCACGCUGUAAACGAUGUCGAUUUGGAGGUUGUGCCCUUGAGGCGUGGCUUCCGGAGCUAACGCGUUAAAUCGACCGCCUGGGGAGUACGGCCGCAAGGUUAAAACUCAAAUGAAUUGACGGGGGCCCGCACAAGCGGUGGAGCAUGUGGUUUAAUUCGAUGCAACGCGAAGAACCUUACCUGGUCUUGACAUCCACAGAACUUUCCAGAGAUGGAUUGGUGCCUUCGGGAACUGUGAGACAGGUGCUGCAUGGCUGUCGUCAGCUCGUGUUGUGAAAUGUUGGGUUAAGUCCCGCAACGAGCGCAACCCUUAUCCUUUGUUGCCAGCGGUUAGGCCGGGAACUCAAAGGAGACUGCCAGUGAUAAACUGGAGGAAGGUGGGGAUGACGUCAAGUCAUCAUGGCCCUUACGACCAGGGCUACACACGUGCUACAAUGGCAUAUACAAAGAGAAGCGACCUCGCGAGAGCAAGCGGACCUCAUAAAGUAUGUCGUAGUCCGGAUUGGAGUCUGCAACUCGACUCCAUGAAGUCGGAAUCGCUAGUAAUCGUAGAUCAGAAUGCUACGGUGAAUACGUUCCCGGGCCUUGUACACACCGCCCGUCACACCAUGGGAGUGGGUUGCAAAAGAAGUAGGUAGCUUAACCUUCGGGAGGGCGCUUACCACUUUGUGAUUCAUGACUGGGGUGAAGUCGUAACAAGGUA
RNAcentral lists this ribosomal RNA (1500 nucleotides) under Klebsiella sp. enrichment culture clone M1. RNAcentral's name for it is "16S ribosomal RNA". It matches the Rfam family "Bacterial small subunit ribosomal RNA". The record is from RNAcentral. Lineage: Bacteria; Pseudomonadati; Pseudomonadota; Gammaproteobacteria; Enterobacterales; Enterobacteriaceae.